CAAUAGCGUAUAUUUAAGUUGCUGCAGUUAAAAAGCUCGUAGUUGGAUUUCGGGUGGGAAUGGCCGGUCCGCCGUUUCGGUGUGCACUUGCUACGCCCACCUUGCUGCCGGGGACGUGCUCUUGAGUUCACGCUCGGGACGCGGAGUCGGCGAGGUUACUUUGAGUAAAUUAGAGUGUUCAAAGCAGGCCUACGCUCUGAAUACAUUAGCAUGGAAUAACACGAUAGGACUCUGGCCUAUCUUGUUGGUCUGUAGGACCGGAGUAAUGAUUAAGAGGGACAGUCGGGGGCAUUCGUAUUUCAUUGUCAGAGGUGAAAUUCUUGGAUUUAUGAAAGACGAACUACUGCGAAAGCAUUUGCCAAGGAUGUUUUCAUUAA
This 377-nucleotide ribosomal RNA is filed under the name uncultured eukaryote. RNAcentral's name for it is "partial 18S ribosomal RNA". It matches the Rfam family "Eukaryotic small subunit ribosomal RNA", at positions 592 to 976 of the family's 1831-position model. The record is from RNAcentral.